This 438-nucleotide ribosomal RNA is filed under the name Ameerega hahneli. RNAcentral's name for it is "partial 12S ribosomal RNA". It matches the Rfam family "Bacterial small subunit ribosomal RNA", at positions 794 to 1454 of the family's 1533-position model. The record is from RNAcentral. Lineage: Eukaryota; Metazoa; Chordata; Amphibia; Anura; Dendrobatidae.
GCCUAGUCGUAAACUUUAACUUACCCCUCCAUCGCCCGGGAACUACGAGCUAAGCUUAAAACCCAAAGGACUUGACGGUACCCCACAUCCCCCUAGAGGAGCCUGUCCUAUAAUCGAUAACCCCCGCUUAACCUCACCAUUUUUUGCUAAUCAGCCUGUAUACCUCCGUCGUCAGCUUACCACGUGAGCGUUAGUGAGCCUAAUGUUUUUCCAACUAUACGUCAGGUCAAGGUGCAACAUAUAAAAUGGAAAGAGAUGGGCUACACUUUCUAUAAUAGAAUAAACGAAAGACUUAAUGAAACCUAGUCAGAAGGUGGAUUUAGAAGUAAAGUGAAACUAGAGUGUUCACUUAAAUACGGCACUGGGGUGUGUACACACCGCCCGUCACCCUCCUCAGCUCUGCAUAAAAGUAUUUAACGCCUUUUUAGAGACUCAGAA